Molecule: long non-coding RNA, 209 nt
Filed under: Elaeis guineensis (African oil palm)
Lineage: Eukaryota; Viridiplantae; Streptophyta; Magnoliopsida; Arecales; Arecaceae
Description: long non-coding RNA (EGUI_LNC019767)
Source: RNAcentral
GCAUGGCUAGGAGUGGCCGGUGGCUCAACUACACAUAGAGAGGCCAAGAGAGAAGGAAAAGGGCAUUGGCCCUUGUCACCUUAGUGGUGGCAUCCAAGGCCAAAGAGAAAAUAAAGGCAGCAACGAUGGGUCAUGGCUGGCGGUGAAGGACUCCAAUGGUAGAUAGUGUGAUAGAUCAUGAAUCAAGAGUAAAAAUAGAGCAUAUGGAG